RNAcentral lists this ribosomal RNA (503 nucleotides) under uncultured bacterium. RNAcentral describes it as "partial 16S ribosomal RNA". It matches the Rfam family "Bacterial small subunit ribosomal RNA", at positions 30 to 523 of the family's 1533-position model. The record is from RNAcentral.
AUUGAACGCUGGCGGCAGGCUUAACACAUGCAAGUCAAGCGGAGUGAUGGUGCUUGCACUAUCACUUAGCGGCGGACGGGUGAGUAAUGCUUAGGAAUCUGCCUAUUAGUGGGGGACAACAUCUCGAAAGGGAUGCUAAUACCGCAUACGUCCUACGGGAGAAAGCAGGGGAUCACUUGUGACCUUGCCCUAAGAGAUGUGCCUACGUCGGAUUAGCUAGUUGGUGGGGUAAAGGCCUACCAAGGCGACGAUCUGUAGCGGGUCUGAGAGGAUGAUCCGCCACACUGGGACUGAGACACGGCCCAGACUCCUACGGGAGGCAGCAGUGGGGAAUAUUGGACAAUGGGGGGAACCCUGAUCCAGCCAUGCCGCGUGUGUGAAGAAGGCCUUAUGGUUGUAAAGCACUUUAAGCGAGGAGGAGGCUACUUUAGUUAAUACCUAGAGAUAGUGGACGUUACUCGCAGAAUAAGCACCGGCUAACUCUGUGCCAGCCGCCGCGGUAA